Molecule: long non-coding RNA, 1480 nt
Filed under: Equus caballus (horse)
Lineage: Eukaryota; Metazoa; Chordata; Mammalia; Perissodactyla; Equidae
Description: lncRNA (ENSECAG00000046778.1)
Source: RNAcentral
CUCCCCCUCCACAGGGGGCACCCGGUUUAAUUUCUCAUCUCGGGAGAGUCAUACUCCGACCCCCAGUCCCAAGCACCAACCUCCGAGCAGCCCCCAAGACCGGGCAUUGGGGAGGCCAGUCAGACGUGCCGUCACUGACCGACAUCCGUGGGUCACUUGGUACCACAAUGGCCACCAGCAACAUGGCCCAACUCGGCCACAAGGAUCUUGUCAUGCAAGAGCAGGACAGACUUUUCUCAUAGCAGUGUGACUUGGGCCUUGAGGAGUCAGGAAGAAGAGAAGGGGGCUGUCCUCCCAGAACAGGGGGAAAAGGAAGUUUCUGGAACCAAAGCCUGGUCAGUGGAAUGUCUCCACCGGGUAGUCUGCAGACACACUUUCCUCACAGUUGGUUUGGGGUCUGCUCACGAUAGAAAGAUGGAGUUGGAGUGGGCUCCAGCACCCCAUCUGAGCGAGGCCCAGGGUCCUGCAGGAGUUCACAGGCCCUGAGGACAGGACUUUGGCUCACAGCUGUAUCUCCAGAGACUAGACCUGUGUCUGACACCUACCAGGUGCUCAAUAAACUCUUGUCAAAUGAGACCCCAGGAACAUUUCAUGUUUCCUGCUUCCGGAGGUGGAUAUUGGAGGCUCGAGAAGGUAAGGUCACUGCCCAGGGUUGACCACCCCCCUGGAGAACCAGGCCCAGACCAGGCUGGAGGGGCUCCAGAGCCCCCGCUCGUCACUGCAUGUGCUCUCCUGGAGCUGGGGGGUGUCCACCAGAGUUCCUGAAAACAGAGCGUCUGCUGAAGGAGGCUGGGGAUGGCUGCAGAAUCGUUACUGCUGGUGGCACCAGUGUACCCAUUCUGGCCUGACCCCUGAGUUGGUCAUAUUCGGCCCCGUGGACCACUCUUGUUUCUCCAGCUCUCUGCUGCCCUGGACCCCAGGCUAUUUAUUCAAGUGUCUUCCUCACUGUCUCCCCAAAGCAGAAAGUCUUCCUUGAUGCUCCCGGGGCUGACCUCAGCCCCAGCACUUCUUACUCCGUGUGAUCACUGCUGGCUUACAGGCCAGUCUGGUCCUUGCACUGAGAGCAGGGCCCCAAGGGAUGGCUCUGAGGAAGCAUGAGCAAGUGGUGGAUGGAAGGAUAGAUGGAUGGAUGGGUGGAUGGAUUGACGGAUGGAUGGAUGAGUGGGUGGGUGAGUGGCCAGAUGGGUAGAUGGAUGGGUGGGUAGGUAGAUGGUGAGUGGCCGGGUGGGUGAGUGGCUGGGUGGAUGAAUGAAAGGACAGGUAGGUAGUGGAUGGUUGGGUGGAUGGAUAGGUGUGUGGCUAGUGUGUUCCUAACCGAGGCCAGCAGACCACCCCUGCGUCAGGCACACCCUAGUGCCCCAGGGCUCCUGGCCAGAACGGAUCAGAGAGACUGUCCACAGAACAGCUGAAGAGGUGGGUGAAGCUUAGCCUGCAGAAGGCGAGGCCCAGGGGAGCAGGAGAGCUCCCUUUGAGGGUUUGG